Podarcis lilfordi (Lilford's wall lizard) is the source of this 72-nucleotide non-coding RNA. NCBI's taxonomy places the organism in Eukaryota, Metazoa, Chordata, Lepidosauria, Squamata, Lacertidae. The record is from the annotation of a GenBank genome assembly.
AGGGCUGUAGUUCAGUGAUAGAACAUCUGCUUCAAAUGCAGAAGGUCUCAGGUUUAUUCCAUGGCACCCCCA